This 407-nucleotide ribosomal RNA is filed under the name uncultured bacterium. RNAcentral's name for it is "bacterial SSU rRNA". It matches the Rfam family "Bacterial small subunit ribosomal RNA", at positions 355 to 774 of the family's 1533-position model. The record is from RNAcentral.
UGGGGAAUAUUGCACAAUGGGCGCAAGCCUGAUGCAGCAACGCCGCGUGAGGGACGACGGCCUUCGGGUUGUAAACCUCUUUUGGCAGGGAAGAAGCGAAAGUGACGGUACCUGCAGAAAAAGCACCGGCUAACUACGUGCCAGCAGCCGCGGUGAUACGUAGGGUGCAAGCGUUGUCCGGAAUUAUUGGGCGUAAAGAGCUCGUAGGCGGUUUGUCGCGUCUGCUGUGAAAACCCGAGGCUCAACCUCGGGCCUGCAGGGGGUACGGGCACACUAGAGUGCGGUAGGGGAGAUUGGAAUUCCUGGUGUAGCGGUGGAAUGCGCAGAUAUCAGGAGGAGCACCGAUGGCGAAGGCAGAUCUCUGGGCCGUAACCGACGCUGAGGAGCGAAAGCAUGGGGAGCGAACA